AUACGGAGGAUCCGAGCGUUAUCCGGAUUUAUUGGGUUUAAAGGGUGCGCAGGCGGCCAUUUAAGUCAGCGGUUAAAUCGUGGGGCUCAACCCCAUUCUGCCGUUGAUACUGGGUGGCUUGAUUGCGGUCGAGGUUGGCGGAAUUCGUUGUGCAGCGGUGAAAUGCAUAGAUAUGACGAAGAACACCGAUUGCGUAGGCAGCUGACCAGACCGCAAAUGACGCUCAUGCACGAAAGUGCGGGGAUCGAACAGGAUUAGAUACCCUGGUAGUCCGCACAGUAAACGAUGAAUACUUGUUUUCGGCGAUAUAAUGUCGGAGGCAAAGCGAAAGCGAUAAGUAUUCCACCUGGGGAGUACGCCGGCAACGGUGAAACUCAAAUGAAUUGGCGGGG
This 392-nucleotide ribosomal RNA is filed under the name uncultured bacterium. RNAcentral's name for it is "partial 16S ribosomal RNA". It matches the Rfam family "Bacterial small subunit ribosomal RNA", at positions 523 to 918 of the family's 1533-position model. The record is from RNAcentral.